RNAcentral lists this ribosomal RNA (429 nucleotides) under uncultured bacterium. RNAcentral describes it as "bacterial SSU rRNA". It matches the Rfam family "Bacterial small subunit ribosomal RNA", at positions 355 to 776 of the family's 1533-position model. The record is from RNAcentral.
UCGAGAAUCAUUCGCAAUGGGCGAAAGCCUGACGAUGCGACGCCGUGUGAGCGAUGAAGGCCUUCGGGUUGUAAAGCUCUUUCGCUUGGGAACAAGAAAAGCUAUCGAAUAGGUAGUUAAUUUGAGAGUACUAGGUAAAGAAGCACCGGCUAACUCCGUGCCAGCAGCUGCGGUAAUACGGAGGGUGCAAGCAUUAAUCGGAAUUACUGGGCGUAAAGGGCGCGUAGGUUGGUUUGUAAGUCAGAUGUGAAAUUCCAGGGCUUAACCCUGGAGCGGCAUUUGAAACUGCAAAUCUGGAGGGUAGGUGGAGAAAGUGGAAUUCCGCAUGUAGCGGUGAAAUGCGUAGAUAUGCGGAAGAACACCUGUGGCGAAAGCGACUUUCUAACUUAUUCCUGACACUGAGGCGCGAAAGCAAGGGGAGCAAACAGG